GGACUGCUCUUAUUUUUAGGCUCUUGCUUGAAAUCACUGUUUCCUCUGUAAACUGUAAACUGUUUCCUCUGUAAAGCACCUCCGGUUAGUGCCUGGUCAGAUUCCCCAGAAGGGCUGAGAGCUCCUGGGGAUUGAGAGGGCUUGGCUUUGCCUAUCUCUUUGAGGGAUUGGCUUCCAACAUAAGUCAUUAAAUUUUGGGGAUGUCUAAGACAGAUCAUUUCUAACAUACCCUCCAAAUUUGGCAAAGUGCUGACGAGUCAACUGAGUAUUAAAAGGCCAACUGAAAUGUAGCUUUUGUUGUUUUGCAGUCAAAUUGUUCAAAGUGUUUCUGGUCGGUUACCCUGGUGGCAGGGAUGGUGUAAGUUGUUUUUUCUCUCCUCCCCAAUCCAACCCAUUUCUAGGCUCUGGAUUCAGUAGGUAUCCGAUUACCAAGAGCUUGUGAACCGCGGCUGGCCCACGACCAUGCCCAAAGUGGGGUCAAUGGCCUCCGGUAUGGGCCAGGCCGAGAGAGAAGUGGGGGAAAUGAACCCAAGAUUGUCCCUUGCGUACCCCACGUUGACAAAUCUCUGGAAAAAAUUGGCCCAAACUUACCUAAAGAAGUCUUCAGAGUCCAUUACCCUGCGAGGGCUGACACGUGGGUACCCUCCUGACACAUUACUAAGAAAUCGGAGACCCGGGGGGUGCAGUCUACUUAAGACCGGGAAGCUGGGCACAGAGGGGCCGGCCGCAGCGCCUCCCGGGCGGGGCCCUCCUGACACGCCCCAAGGGGUCGGGUCCAGGGGGCGGGGCGCGCGGGAAGGACGCCGGGCUUUGAGCCGCGUGCACCUAUGGCUGUGCUUCGCUGCCUCGGAGCUCUGCGGCCGCUGGUUAGUGAGAACGCGCGGCCAGGGCUGGCCUAGUGGGCAGGGCCCCGGGGAUGAUGAAAUACGUCCGCGUGCGGGUGAGUGGGGAUUCCAGACUUCCAGCGAAUAUGCGGAGCCUGGGUCCUCGCAGCGGCCACGGACUUCCUUGACGUGCAGUCUCUUCUUCACCUUGUGA
Molecule: long non-coding RNA, 1038 nt
Filed under: Suricata suricatta (meerkat)
Lineage: Eukaryota; Metazoa; Chordata; Mammalia; Carnivora; Herpestidae
Description: lncRNA (ENSSSUG00005018765.1)
Source: RNAcentral